RNAcentral lists this non-coding RNA (184 nucleotides) under Onchocerca volvulus. The record is from Rfam by way of RNAcentral. Lineage: Eukaryota; Metazoa; Nematoda; Chromadorea; Rhabditida; Onchocercidae. RNAcentral also lists the same sequence under 1 other name.
UUUCUCUCAUUAUAGCUGGAGUACGUAAUGAAGCUGCUAUAUUCGAUAAAGCAAAUGAUUACAGGAAUUUUGGGACGAAACGUCUUCAACGAAGUAUGACUGUCUUGCUUGAAGCGUAGACAUCGGAUGUGUGCUUCAAAUAGACCAUUUUUGAUAAGCAGAACUGACGCUGUGGGAUGAACCA